AGAUUAAGUUAUUAAGGGCGCACGGUGGAUGCCUUGGCACUAGAAGCCGAUGAAGGACGUUACUAACGACGAUAUGCUUUGGGGAGCUGUAAGUAAGCUUUGAUCCAGAGAUUUCCGAAUGGGGAAACCCAGCAUGAGUUAUGUCAUGUUAUCGAUAUGUGAAUACAUAGCAUAUCAGAAGGCACACCCGGAGAACUGAAACAUCUUAGUACCCGGAGGAAGAGAAAGAAAAUUCGAUUCCCUUAGUAGCGGCGAGCGAAACGGGAAGAGCCCAAACCAACAAGCUUGCUUGUUGGGGUUGUAGGACACUCUGUACGGAGUUACAAAGGACGACAUUAGACGAAUCAUCUGGAAAGAUGAAUCAAAGAAGGUAAUAAUCCUGUAGUCGAAAAUGUUGUCUCUCUUGAGUGGAUCCUGAGUACGACGGAGCACGUGAAAUUCCGUCGGAAUCUGGGAGGACCAUCUCCUAAGGCUAAAUACUCUCUAGUGACCGAUAGUGAACCAGUACCGUGAGGGAAAGGUGAAAAGCACCCCGGAAGGGGAGUGAAAUAGAACCUGAAACCGUGUGCUUACAAGUAGUCAGAGCCCGUUAAUGGGUGAUGGCGUGCCUUUUGUAGAAUGAACCGGCGAGUUACGAUUUGAUGCAAGGUUAAGCAGUAAAUGUGGAGCCGUAGCGAAAGCGAGUCUGAAUAGGGCGUUUAGUAUUUGGUCGUAGACCCGAAACCAGGUGAUCUACCCUUGGUCAGGUUGAAGUUCAGGUAACACUGAAUGGAGGACCGAACCGACUUACGUUGAAAAGUGAGCGGAUGAACUGAGGGUAGCGGAGAAAUUCCAAUCGAACCUGGAGAUAGCUGGUUCUCUCCGAAAUAGCUUUAGGGCUAGCCUCAAGUGAUGAUUAUUGGAGGUAGAGCACUGUUUGGACGAGGGGCCCCUCUCGGGUUACCGAAUUCAGACAAACUCCGAAUGCCAAUUAAUUUAACUUGGGAGUCAGAACAUGGGUGAUAAGGUCCGUGUUCGAAAGGGAAACAGCCCAGACCACCAGCUAAGGUCCCAAAAUAUAUGUUAAGUGGAAAAGGAUGUGGCGUUGCCCAGACAACUAGGAUGUUGGCUUAGAAGCAGCCAUCAUUUAAAGAGUGCGUAAUAGCUCACUAGUCGAGUGACACUGCGCCGAAAAUGUACCGGGGCUAAACAUAUUACCGAAGCUGUGGAUUGUCCUUUGGACAAUGGUAGGAGAGCGUUCUAAGGGCGUUGAAGCAUGAUCGUAAGGACAUGUGGAGCGCUUAGAAGUGAGAAUGCCGGUGUGAGUAGCGAAAGACGGGUGAGAAUCCCGUCCACCGAUUGACUAAGGUUUCCAGAGGAAGGCUCGUCCGCUCUGGGUUAGUCGGGUCCUAAGCUGAGGCCGACAGGCGUAGGCGAUGGAUAACAGGUUGAUAUUCCUGUACCACCUAUAAUCGUUUUAAUCGAUGGGGGGACGCAGUAGGAUAGGCGAAGCGUGCGAUUGGAUUGCACGUCUAAGCAGUAAGGCUGAGUAUUAGGCAAAUCCGGUACUCGUUAAGGCUGAGCUGUGAUGGGGAGAAGACAUUGUGUCUUCGAGUCGUUGAUUUCACACUGCCGAGAAAAGCCUCUAGAUAGAAAAUAGGUGCCCGUACCGCAAACCGACACAGGUAGUCAAGAUGAGAAUUCUAAGGUGAGCGAGCGAACUCUCGUUAAGGAACUCGGCAAAAUGACCCCGUAACUUCGGGAGAAGGGGUGCUCUUUAGGGUUAACGCCCAGAAGAGCCGCAGUGAAUAGGCCCAAGCGACUGUUUAUCAAAAACACAGGUCUCUGCUAAACCGUAAGGUGAUGUAUAGGGGCUGACGCCUGCCCGGUGCUGGAAGGUUAAGAGGAGUGGUUAGCUUCUGCGAAGCUACGAAUCGAAGCCCCAGUAAACGGCGGCCGUAACUAUAACGGUCCUAAGGUAGCGAAAUUCCUUGUCGGGUAAGUUCCGACCCGCACGAAAGGCGUAACGAUUUGGGCACUGUCUCAACGAGAGACUCGGUGAAAUCAUAGUACCUGUGAAGAUGCAGGUUACCCGCGACAGGACGGAAAGACCCCGUGGAGCUUUACUGUAGCCUGAUAUUGAAAUUCGGCACAGCUUGUACAGGAUAGGUAGGAGCCUUUGAAACGUGAGCGCUAGCUUACGUGGAGGCGCUGGUGGGAUACUACCCUAGCUGUGUUGGCUUUCUAACCCGCACCACUUAUCGUGGUGGGAGACAGUGUCAGGCGGGCAGUUUGACUGGGGCGGUCGCCUCCUAAAAGGUAACGGAGGCGCUCAAAGGUUCCCUCAGAAUGGUUGGAAAUCAUUCAUAGAGUGUAAAGGCAUAAGGGAGCUUGACUGCGAGACCUACAAGUCGAGCAGGGUCGAAAGACGGACUUAGUGAUCCGGUGGUUCCGCAUGGAAGGGCCAUCGCUCAACGGAUAAAAGCUACCCCGGGGAUAACAGGCUUAUCUCCCCCAAGAGUUCACAUCGACGGGGAGGUUUGGCACCUCGAUGUCGGCUCAUCGCAUCCUGGGGCUGUAGUCGGUCCCAAGGGUUGGGCUGUUCGCCCAUUAAAGCGGUACGCGAGCUGGGUUCAGAACGUCGUGAGACAGUUCGGUCCCUAUCCGUCGUGGGCGUAGGAAAUUUGAGAGGAGCUGUCCUUAGUACGAGAGGACCGGGAUGGACAUACCUCUGGUGUACCAGUUGUCGUGCCAACGGCAUAGCUGGGUAGCUAUGUGUGGACGGGAUAAGUGCUGAAAGCAUCUAAGCAUGAAGCCCCCCUCAAGAUGAGAUUUCCCAACUUCGGUUAUAAGAUCCCUCAAAGAUGAUGAGGUUAAUAGGUUCGAGGUGGAAGCAUGGUGACAUGUGGAGCUGACGAAUAC
Molecule: ribosomal RNA, 2901 nt
Filed under: Staphylococcus aureus
Lineage: Bacteria; Bacillati; Bacillota; Bacilli; Caryophanales; Staphylococcaceae
Description: bacterial LSU rRNA
Rfam family: Bacterial large subunit ribosomal RNA
Source: RNAcentral